UAUUCACCGCUGUGGUCCCAAAAGGCGAACAAAUUGUGGAAAAAAAAAAUCCGCCGGAAAGUCCCUGUCGGAUGCAGGGCGUCGACAGCGAAAGCAGUACGUGCGAGAAAAUUUUCUGCCUAGUUGUGAAGAAGAUCGGCGGUACCAAGUGGAGACGAAUAACCGGUUUUAGAAGUAGGUACAUCCGUACGAGUACCGGUAUUAGAACAACUUCCGUAACCACAAAUGCAACAUCCGCAAGACCCUAAAGAAGGGUCAAGGAAAAUAAUAAAUUUCUAAUCCGGCUGGCCGGUCGUCGUAAGGGAGCUGUAGGCCCUCAAGUCGGGACUGCAACUGGAUGGCCGAUUCGGAGGUCCACCAAUAGGUCCGAUGUCGAUGAUGCCUUGGCCAAUGCCACACAUGCGGGCAACGGUGAUGUCUCCACAUAUGCGAUUCCCUCUGAUGCGGCGCAACCCGAAUGGAAAGUUGCCUCCGGGCCGAAUGAAAAGUUCGGUCAAAUUCUUGACAUCGUCGCCUCGUCUUCAAGAAAAUCGCAAGAGCCACCAACGCAACGCGAACCAUGCAGGCUUCCCGUUCUAUGAACUACGAUUGCGCAUUAACCAGCUUGACAGCGACAGACCAAGAUCGACAGUGACGUGAUUGCCAAGACAAAUGAACAGCCGAAGGGCAUCCAAGCCGGUCCACCCGUAGGACAAGAAAUCUUGAAAGCAGAAUUCCGAUGCCGAUGAAGCGGCCAGUACUAUGAUGCCCAACCGGCAUGAUAUGCAUUUGUGAAAUUUACAACGGGGCCGCCUGCGAUGCAAGAGGGCUUCACGUUCACGCCGACGCAAGCGAUGAAAAUCUCGAUCAUCGAGAAGUAGGAAGGAGGCUUUAGAAUAAGUAUUUUAAACGUACGUAUUGAAAUGGUAUGCAUGUGACAGUACAUUAUGUAGGGUGACUAAGGGUAUUAUCGGCAUGUUUGUUCUCUUCGUCAAGGGGGGUUUUUGCAGGCCAAAUUUCUUGAAACUUGAUUGUACAAUUCAGCUUGGUUAGGAAAGAUUUGACGCCAACUUUGAGUUUAAUCGAUAUAAAAAGAUGACGAAGAAAUCAAAUCUGCCGGGAAUACGUCACUUUCCCUAUUUGGAUUCAAUAAACCAUGAAUAAUUGCACUUCUGCUUUCAUGGUUUAUUGGUGCGGCAGGGUGAAACUUCUUUUAGGAAGCAAAAUUUGUGGCAUUUUUUUAUGAAGUGAUUCCUCUAAUGAUUUCCCAAGGGAUUCCUCCGAGAAUUCUUACCGGGAUUUGUCCCAGUAUUCUUUAUAGUAUUUUCUCCUGAGUUUCAACUCAGAGCAAGAUUACACUAUUCCAACAUUUCUUCAGGAAUUUUUACAUUUCUCCUAGCAUUUCCAUAGGAAGUUCUUCAUGGAUUAUCUCCGGGAUAAAUAAGAGAUUAUUUCUUUUGAAAUUUGUAUUGUUAAUACUCCCGAAAUUCUUCCAAAGAUUUCUCCAGAAAUUCCUUUCAAAAAUUCUUCGCAAAAGAUUUCUAAAGGUAUUUCGAGCUUCAACUCUCUACUUACCAUGCUUGCUCUAGAGCUUCAUCGAUUUUCGACGAACUCGGGACAAACGGAAUAAAGAUAAAUAGGUAUGCAGCAAUAUUUUUGGAAAUAUUCAGGGUUCAUUCAAAUAUUACGUAACGCAAAAUUAGCCAGUUUUAGACCCCCUUCGUUUUCCACGUAACAACUUUCGUAUGGAAUUUAUUUUAUGAAGAGUAACGCAGCGCUGGACCCCCUCCCUCUCCUCUUAGCGUUACGUUAUAUUUAAACGAAUCCUCAUCUGUGUCGUCAUGCAUAUUGUGUAUUACCGUUGAUAAAAAAGAUUAUAUUUUUGCAAAUGCAAAUAAACGUCUUUUCCAAGUUCUUAUUUUGAUAAA
This is a long non-coding RNA of Aedes albopictus (Asian tiger mosquito), 1907 nucleotides long. RefSeq lists it as uncharacterized. The record is from RefSeq and is a predicted model, not a curated record. The transcript is spliced from 3 exons. NCBI's taxonomy places the organism in Eukaryota, Metazoa, Arthropoda, Insecta, Diptera, Culicidae.